GACGAAGGUGGCUAGCGUUAUUCGGUGUCACUGGGCUUAAAGCGUAUGUAGGCGGAAAGAUAAGCGUUUUGUGAAAUCCCUCAGCUUAACUGAGGAAUUGCUUGACGAACUAUCUUUCUUGAGGCAAGUAGGGGUGCAUGGAACUCUUGGUGGAGCGGUGGAAUGCGUAGAUAUCAAGAGGAACGCCAAUGGAGAAAUCAGUGCACUGGGCUUGUCCUGACGCUCAGAUACGAAAGCGUGGGUAGCGAACGGG
RNAcentral lists this ribosomal RNA (253 nucleotides) under uncultured bacterium. Its description in RNAcentral is "partial 16S ribosomal RNA". It matches the Rfam family "Bacterial small subunit ribosomal RNA", at positions 524 to 776 of the family's 1533-position model. The record is from RNAcentral.